This 440-nucleotide ribosomal RNA is filed under the name uncultured bacterium. RNAcentral describes it as "partial 16S ribosomal RNA". It matches the Rfam family "Bacterial small subunit ribosomal RNA", at positions 338 to 795 of the family's 1533-position model. The record is from RNAcentral.
CCUACGGGAGGCAGCAGUGGGGGAUAUUGCACAAUGGGGGGAACCCUGAUGCAGCGACGCCGCGUGGGUGAAGGAGUGCUUCGGCAUGUAAAGCCCUAUCGGCAAGGCAGAAAAUGACAGUACCUGACCAAGAAGCUCCGGCUAACUACGUGCCAGCAGCCGCGGUAAUAAGUAGGGGGCAAGCGUUAUCCGGAUUUACUGGGUGUAAAGAGAGCGUAGACGGUUAUGUAAGUCUGGAGUGAAAGCCCGGGGCCCAACCCCGGGACUGCUUUGGAAACUGUGUGACUGGAGUACAGGAGGGGCAGGCGGAAUUCGUGGUGUAGCGGUGAAAUGCGUAGAUAUCAGGAGGAACACCGGCGGCGAAGGCGGCUUGCUGAACUGAAACUGACGUUGAGGCUCGAAAGCGUGGGGAGCAAACAGGAUUAGAUACCCGAGUAGUC